Cuculus canorus (common cuckoo) is the source of this 257-nucleotide long non-coding RNA. RefSeq lists it as uncharacterized. NCBI's taxonomy places the organism in Eukaryota, Metazoa, Chordata, Aves, Cuculiformes, Cuculidae. The record is from RefSeq and is a predicted model, not a curated record. The transcript is spliced from 3 exons.
AAAAUGAUAUAUCCAGCAGCGAUUCACUGCUUGGUGAGAGCAAACAUGCAGCUGACCUCAACGUGCCUGUUCGUGUAGAACAGAAGGCUAGCUUGUUCCUGGACCUACACGACACUUUCAGGUCAGCAAAAUAACAAGGGUGGAUAACAGUCACUGGUUAUAACAGAUGUACCUGCUUAUAUUUAGCUACUUCUGAAGUGCUUAUCCAGCUGUGAGCUUCUUGUGCUGCUGUCAUCUGCUGUCCACUGAAACAGGUA